UGCCAGCAGCCGCGGUAACCCCAGCGCCACGAGUGGCAAUCAGUAUUAUUGGGUCUAAAGCGUCCGUAGCCUGUAUAGUAAAUCCGCUGUGAAAUCGUGAAGCUUAACUUCACGGCGUGCAUUGGACACUGCUAUACUUGGGACCGGGAGGAGUCAGAGGUAUUCCGGGGGGAGCGGUAAAAUGCGAUAAUCCUCGGAGGACCACCGAUGGCGAAGGCAUCUGACCAGAACGGAUCCGACGGUGAGGGACGAAAGCCAGGGGAGCGAACCGGAUUAGAUA
Molecule: ribosomal RNA, 280 nt
Filed under: uncultured bacterium
Lineage: Bacteria
Description: partial 16S ribosomal RNA
Rfam family: Archaeal small subunit ribosomal RNA
Source: RNAcentral